RNAcentral lists this long non-coding RNA (236 nucleotides) under Salvia miltiorrhiza (redroot sage). RNAcentral describes it as "long non-coding RNA (SMIL_LNC012543)". The record is from RNAcentral. Lineage: Eukaryota; Viridiplantae; Streptophyta; Magnoliopsida; Lamiales; Lamiaceae.
UAAAGAGCAUAAGGGAUUAACAACCACGACAUGCAAAGAACAUAAUAAAAGAAUUAAAAUUCUUCGUGACCCAUUCGUGGAAACCCAACAUCUAUUCUAUUUUAAAAGAAAAUAAAAUAAAUAAAAAUAGGACAAAAAAAAUGCCCAAAACCGCCUAAACAGGCUGAAAAAACUGAUCCAGCCCUUGUUUGGGCCCAAAAGCCACGGCCCAGCCGCCCAAGCCCAUUCAGCAGCCC